This 301-nucleotide ribosomal RNA is filed under the name uncultured bacterium. RNAcentral describes it as "partial 16S ribosomal RNA". It matches the Rfam family "Bacterial small subunit ribosomal RNA", at positions 509 to 809 of the family's 1533-position model. The record is from RNAcentral.
CAGUCGCCACGGGAAUACGAAGGGUGCAAGCGUUAAUCGGAAUUACUGGGCGUAAAGCGUGCGUAGGCGGUUUGUUAAGUCUGCUGUGAAAUCCCCGGGCUCAACCUGGGAAUGGCAGUGGAUACUGGCAAGCUAGAGUGUGUCAGAGGAUGGUGGAAUUCCCGGUGUAGCGGUGAAAUGCGUAGAGAUCGGGAGGAACAUCAGUGGCGAAGGCGGCCAUCUGGGACAACACUGACGCUGAGGCACGAAAGCGUGGGGAGCAAACAGGAUUAGAUACCCCCGUAGUCCCUGUCUCUUAUAU